CUGCACUUUCCGGGGUGAACUUGUGAGAAGGGUUCUGGCACGUUGGCAUGAACUCUAGUGAUUCAAUUCGAAAAAGUCGUCCGGCACCAGUUGUAAGAGCCAAGGGUUGUGACACAGGGUAAAACAACUCAAUAUGUUCUGAACUUCUACUAAACUAGAAGACGAGGAAAAAAAAAGAAGGUAAAUUAUGCUCAUCAUCCUUCCUCAUGUUUAGAUGAAAAUUCGAGCAACUUAUCGUAUUUAUAUAAUACAACGUAGGAGUAACCUCGUAGUUGAGCGGUGCAUUGCAAAAACAGUCGAAAGAUUCCGUAAGACAGUUAAUGCAGCACUAAGAAGAAAUGAUGCGGAGGUUACCUGGAAAGAUGCGUACAUAACAUAACAUACUUUUUCUCUCUGUAUUGCUUGAACAUGUCGUGUUGCGACGUUAUGACCAUCUCUAAUCCUCUCCACCUUGAAUGUAAUAGGCACUGCAGAGAAGCACCAAAUUUGAUAUAUAAAAACAUAAAUAAAAUGCGAAUCAAUCUAAUCAAGUACGAGCCAAUCAAUAAAUCUAGAAACAAAGCGAGUAUGCUGGAUACGAACUUUAACAUGAGCUAUCUCAACUCCAAAGAUUCAGCAAAUUGAUGCACAUUAACAUCGCUUUGUCAACCAAUGUAGGGAGCGAUGGAUACAAGAAGAGAUUCCACUGAGGACAAAAUACGCAUGAAGGCUGUGAACAUCGAGUGCGGGAUUGACUGUCUUGCACGCAGCUCCUAAAGCCUGCACCAGACCAGGAAAGCGAAUUCACGAGUGAUCAUGACAUUGAAAAUAAGAUGCAAAGCGGAUCCAACGAUCAAACCAAAGGCAGCCCCUUCUUUCUAUAACAAACUAGGAAUACUUGAUGAGUACAGUGUUUCACUGGGGAAAAUUGCUU
This 913-nucleotide long non-coding RNA is filed under the name Physcomitrium patens. RNAcentral describes it as "long non-coding RNA (PPAT_LNC006600)". The record is from RNAcentral. Lineage: Eukaryota; Viridiplantae; Streptophyta; Bryopsida; Funariales; Funariaceae.